This 254-nucleotide ribosomal RNA is filed under the name uncultured bacterium. RNAcentral describes it as "partial 16S ribosomal RNA". It matches the Rfam family "Bacterial small subunit ribosomal RNA", at positions 524 to 777 of the family's 1533-position model. The record is from RNAcentral.
UACGAAGGGGGCUAGCGUUGCUCGGAAUUACUGGGCGUAAAGCGCGUGUAGGUGGUGGGACAAGUCUGCUGUGAAAGCGCCUGGCUUAACCGGGCGAGGUCGGCGGAAACUGUCCGACUCGAGGACGGUAGAGGGGGGUGGAAUUCCCGGUGUAGUGGUGAAAUGCGUAGAGAUCGGGAGGAACACCUGUGGCGAAGGCGGCCCCCUGGGCCGGCCCUGACACUGAGACGCGAAGGCGUGGGGAGCGAACGGGG